RNAcentral lists this ribosomal RNA (166 nucleotides) under Azonexus fungiphilus. The record is from RNAcentral. Lineage: Bacteria; Pseudomonadati; Pseudomonadota; Betaproteobacteria; Rhodocyclales; Azonexaceae.
CUUGGCGGCAAUAGCCUUCUGGACCCACCCCUUCCCUUCCCGAACAGGACCGUGAAACAGAUGAGCGCCAAUGAUAGUGAGCACCUCGCUCGCGAAAGUAGGUCACCGCCAGGCUCCCAUUUCUCAAACCCCCUCGCACCCAGUGCCAGGGGGUUUGGCCGUUUAC